This 252-nucleotide ribosomal RNA is filed under the name uncultured bacterium. Its description in RNAcentral is "partial 16S ribosomal RNA". It matches the Rfam family "Bacterial small subunit ribosomal RNA", at positions 524 to 775 of the family's 1533-position model. The record is from RNAcentral.
UACGGGGGGGGCAGCAGUGUUCGGAUUUACUGGGCGUAAAGGGUGCGUAGGUGGUCGGGUAAGUCUCAUGUGAAAUCUCCAAGCUUAACUUGGAAAUGGCAUGGGAUACUAUUCGGCUAGAGGAUUGGAGGGGGGACUGGAAUUCCCGGGUGUAGCAGUGAAAUGCGUAGAUAUCGGGAGGAACACCAGUGGCGAAGGCGAGUCCCUGGACAAUUCCUGACGCUGAGGCACGAAAGCUAGGGGAGCAACAGG